This 444-nucleotide long non-coding RNA is filed under the name Gopherus evgoodei (Goodes thornscrub tortoise). RNAcentral describes it as "lncRNA (ENSGEVG00005014072.1)". Lineage: Eukaryota; Metazoa; Chordata; Testudines; Testudinidae. The record is from RNAcentral.
GUCCCAGUGGCAGGGAGCAUGGCUGCAGCCCAGGAGAUGGCAGAGGGGGUCGUGUACGCCGACAUCUCCUUCCCCCCACCUGCCCCGACAGCAGCCCCGCAGCAGCUUCCCUCGUCAUCCUGGCGGCAGGUGGCUCUCGGCCUGGCUCUCCUGUGCAUCCUGCUCCUGGCAGCGCUGCUCGGCCUGGGCCUGCACCUGCACCAGCACCGGCGAGUGGGGAGCUGUGCCCCGAAGCUGAGGAGCAUGGAGGAGAGCCUCGAACACAGGCUGCAGCAGCAGGAGAGAUUCCUGGCAGGUACGCGAGGGGGGCAGGGUCCUGGGAAAGACUUGGGGAGGGUCUCGCCGUCCCCCAGAGUCAGCCCGACUCCCAGCCCUGUAGGAGUGGGGAGCCCAGAGUCCUUCCCCACUGGCUGUGGGCACCCACAAUCUAGGCCUCGUGUCUAA